ACGGGUGAGUAAUGUCUGGGAAACUGCCUGAUGGAGGGGGGAUAACUACUGGAAACGGUAGCUAAUACCGCAUAACGUCGCAAGACCAAAGAGGGGGACCUUCGGGCCUCUUGCCAUCAGAUGUGCCCAGAUGGGAUUAGCUAGUAGGUGGGGUAACGGCUCACCUAGGUGACGAUCCCUAGCUGGUCUGAGAGGAUGACCAGCCACACUGGAACUGAGACACGGUCCAGACUCCUACGGGAGGCAGCAUG
Molecule: ribosomal RNA, 251 nt
Filed under: uncultured bacterium
Lineage: Bacteria
Description: partial 16S ribosomal RNA
Rfam family: Bacterial small subunit ribosomal RNA
Source: RNAcentral